CACGUAGGGGGCAAGCGUUGUCCGGAUUUAUUGGGCGUAAAGAGCUCGUAGGCGGUUCGGUAAGUUGGGUGUGAAACCUCCAGGCUCAACCUGGAGACGCCACCCGAUACUGCUGUGACUAGAGUCCGGUAGGGGAGCGUGGAAUUCCUGGUGUAGCGGUGAAAUGCGCAGAUAUCAGGAGGAACACCAGCGGCGAAGGCGGCGCUCUGGGCCGGAACUGACGCUGAGGAGCGAAAGCGUGGGUAGCGAACAGG
This 254-nucleotide ribosomal RNA is filed under the name uncultured bacterium. RNAcentral describes it as "partial 16S ribosomal RNA". It matches the Rfam family "Bacterial small subunit ribosomal RNA", at positions 524 to 776 of the family's 1533-position model. The record is from RNAcentral.